GGUAGCUUAGUGGUAGAGCACUUGUUUAGUAUACAUGAGGCCCUGGGUUCAAUUCCCAGAACCA
RNAcentral lists this transfer RNA (64 nucleotides) under Dipodomys ordii (Ord's kangaroo rat). It matches the Rfam family "tRNA". Rfam says of the family: Transfer RNA (tRNA) molecules are approximately 80 nucleotides in length. Their secondary structure includes four short double-helical elements and three loops (D, anti-codon, and T loops). Further hydrogen bonds mediate the characteristic L-shaped molecular structure. tRNAs have two regions of fundamental functional importance: the anti-codon, which is responsible for specific mRNA codon recognition, and the 3' end, to which the tRNAs corresponding amino acid is attached (by aminoacyl-tRNA synthetases). tRNAs cope with the degeneracy of the genetic code in two manners: having more than one tRNA (with a specific anti-codon) for a particular amino acid; and 'wobble' base-pairing, i.e. permitting non-standard base-pairing at the 3rd anti-codon position. The record is from Rfam by way of RNAcentral. Lineage: Eukaryota; Metazoa; Chordata; Mammalia; Rodentia; Heteromyidae.